RNAcentral lists this ribosomal RNA (253 nucleotides) under uncultured bacterium. RNAcentral's name for it is "partial 16S ribosomal RNA". It matches the Rfam family "Bacterial small subunit ribosomal RNA", at positions 524 to 776 of the family's 1533-position model. The record is from RNAcentral.
UACGUAGGGGGCAAGCGUUGUCCGGAAUUAUUGGGCGUAAAGAGCGCGUAGGCGGUCCGAUAAGUCCGCUGUGAAAGUCGGGGGCUCAACCCUCGAAAGCCGGUGGAAACUGUCGGGCUAGAGUGCGGAAGAGGCGAGUGGAAUUCCUGGUGUAGCGGUGAAAUGCGCAGAUAUCAGGAGGAACACCAAUUGCGAAGGCAGCUCGCUGGGACGUUACUGACGCUGAGACGCGAAAGCGUGGGGAGCAAACAGG